CCGGUCACACCUGUGCUGGUGGCUAUAGCUUGCACCAUGGGUCUGCGGGGCGCGGUGGCAAGUCGAGUCGUUCCCCUGUAAGCGUGGGGAAGCGGGUGUUUCACACGCACCCCCACGGAAGCAGCUAAUGCAGUACCUAAGGACUCCAGCUGAAAUCAAGGCCCCUUUGUUUAGGCUUGGUACAAACAUACAGAGAGAGAGAGAGAGUCCCUGCUGAAGGCAAAGAGUUGUGGGGAAGGGAUAUGACCUACAAGCAGAGUGAACAAUUUGAUGAUCUACAAAUGUCAUUAGACUUCAGCAUCUGUUUCUCAAUGACAUUUUGUGUGAAUGUAUGUUUUGACCUAGUAUUACAUCUGGUUUCACUAAGGAACAUAGCAGUUAAGUAAUUAGCCCAAAGUCACUUAGUCAAUGGCUCACCCUGCCUGAAAAUUCUCUACUCUUCUGGCUCCUUGUCUUUUUGUCUAGAUCACAUUGGCUCCCAAAUUUAACUAAACCUUUAUUGAGACUUUGACAGAACCUUUCAUUCUGUAUAAUAAAUCACUUUUAUUUGGGAAGAUGUCUCUUCACAAGUCCUGCAUGAAAUUUCUACAAAAAAUAUUUCUAUAGUGCUAUACAAAAUGAUAAGAAAAGCCCCAGCAUCAGUUUACAGUCUGUUGAUUUGGAGCUGUCCGCCACGGGAACCAAGACAAGCGUUGCAGGAAGUGUGGCUACUCCAACGAGACUCUGUCCCACGUCCUGUGCAGCAGCAAGCCCCACUCCAGAGCCUGGCAACUGUGCCACAACGCCAUCCAGAACCGCCUGGUGAAAGCCAUCACACCGUGCCUGGGCAAAGUUGCCGUGAACUGCACCAUUCCUGGUACUGACAGCCAGCUGCGACCUGACGUCGUCAUCAUCGACGAGGCCCAGAAAAAGAUCAUCCUCGUCGACGUCACGGUCUCCUUUGAGAACAGGACUCCGGCCUUUCUGAGCUCGUAAGCUGGAAAAGUACGCUCCCCUGGCUGACACCCUGAGAGCGAAGAGCUACGAGGUGCAGAUGGACGCCCUGAUCGUUGGAGUCCUGGGCACCUUGCAUAACUUGCAAUGAGCGUGUGUUACGGACCUGCUGGAUCAGUCGACGCUACGCACGGCUGAUGCAGCACCUCAUGGUCUCAGACACCAUCCGAUGGUCCAGGGACAUCUACACCUAACACAUCACUGGCCACUGACAGUACCAGGAGGCGUGAGCCGGAGCGACAUCGUGCAUCGACUACGAGAAAGGGACCGAGAGACUUUGUCCAUUGGACCAUAUGAACUAGAACCAUAAACUCACUGAACGUUAAAUCUCACCAAAUGAGGGUCAAUCCAUCCUCAUCAUUGUAUCCACUCAUUAUACUACACACCUGAACAUAGCAUUUAUAUGAACAACAUACUCUCAUAUCUCAAUGUCUGUACUUUGGCCCAUUAACCCUUUACCCCCAAUCAAGAAUAUUGCAGAUUAUGUAUUCCUUAUGCCAUCUGAUUUUAAACUGAACUUCGCACCCCUUGAUAAUCUGUACGUUAUUCCCUGAUAACCAGAAACUUCUACACUUAAACUCUUUAUUGGAUCAGGGCCAAAGUGCUCAGUACCUCACAGAAUCGAAUCCUUUGUAAGCCAUAACAGCAUGUCUGAUAGAACAAAUAACGGGAGGCUAGGUGUUACCGCUAAGAGCAGGUUACAACUACAGAUGGUAGAGAAAUUGAGGAAAAAAUCCCCCCUCCCCUAAAAAAAAUUCUUGACCUUUU
This is a long non-coding RNA of Trachemys scripta elegans, 1761 nucleotides long. RefSeq lists it as uncharacterized. NCBI's taxonomy places the organism in Eukaryota, Metazoa, Chordata, Testudines, Emydidae. The transcript has 3 exons. The record is from RefSeq and is a predicted model, not a curated record.